This 508-nucleotide ribosomal RNA is filed under the name uncultured Comamonadaceae bacterium. Its description in RNAcentral is "bacterial SSU rRNA". It matches the Rfam family "Bacterial small subunit ribosomal RNA", at positions 1 to 507 of the family's 1533-position model. The record is from RNAcentral. Lineage: Bacteria; Pseudomonadati; Pseudomonadota; Betaproteobacteria; Burkholderiales; Comamonadaceae.
AGUCCUCGGCUCGUAGACGUUGAACGCGUCGGCGGCGACGUGCCGUUACACAUAGCAAGUACGACGGUAACAGGUCUUCGGAUGCUGACGAGUGGCGAACGGGUGAGUAAUACGAUCGGAACCGUGCCCGAGUACGUGGGGGAUAACGGAGCGAAAGCUUUGCUAAUACGCAUACGAUCUACGGAUGAAAGCAGGGACCGCAAGGCCUUGCGCGGACGGAGCGGCCGAUGGCAGAUUAGGUAGUUGGUGGGAUAAAGCUUACCAAGCCGACGAUCUGUAGCUGGUCUGAGAGGACGACCAGCCACACUGGGACUGAGACACGGCCCAGACUCCUACGGGAGGCAGCAGUGGGGAAUUUUGGACAAUGGGCGAAAGCCUGAUCCAGCCAUGCCACGUGCAGGAUGAAGGCCUUCGGGUUGUAAACUGCUUUUGUACGGAACGAAAAGACUCUUUCUAAUAAAGAGGGUCCAUGACGGUACCGUAAGAAUAAGCACCGGCUAACUACGUG